GGUGUAGGUGAGUCCUCAUGUCCACGGUGUAGGUGAGUCCUCAUGGUGUAGGUGAGUCCUCAUUACCACGGUGUAGGUGAGGCCUCAUGGUGUAGGUGAGUCCUCAUGGUGUAGGUGAGUCCUCAUGUCCACGGUGUAGGUGAGUCCUCAUUACCACGGUGUAGGUGAG
Petromyzon marinus (sea lamprey) is the source of this 169-nucleotide non-coding RNA. NCBI's taxonomy places the organism in Eukaryota, Metazoa, Chordata, Hyperoartia, Petromyzontiformes, Petromyzontidae. The record is from RefSeq and is a predicted model, not a curated record.